UCGGUGAGACCGCACCACCCACUAGAAAUCACUAAUCACGAAGAUUUUCACAUCUCUACCUAGGGAGUGUAGGGAUCUGAAAAAAUAGUGAGAGCCUAAUUUGUUUAAAAAUAAAAUCUCUAAAUAAAUUGGUUAAGUCUGAUUAUAAAAUCUAACUAGAAACUCUUGACUCUUUUCAAGAAAUAUGUCUGUGUCCAACCCCCUGACCAAAAUACUAGACACCCAC
Molecule: long non-coding RNA, 226 nt
Filed under: Elaeis guineensis (African oil palm)
Lineage: Eukaryota; Viridiplantae; Streptophyta; Magnoliopsida; Arecales; Arecaceae
Description: long non-coding RNA (EGUI_LNC082454)
Source: RNAcentral